This 408-nucleotide ribosomal RNA is filed under the name uncultured bacterium. RNAcentral describes it as "bacterial SSU rRNA". It matches the Rfam family "Bacterial small subunit ribosomal RNA", at positions 30 to 426 of the family's 1533-position model. The record is from RNAcentral.
AGUGAACGCUGGCGGCAGGCCUAACACAUGCAAGUCGAGCGGCAGCGCGUCCGACCACCCUCGGGUGGUCGGAUGGCGGCGAGCGGCGGACGGGUGAGGAAUGCAUCGGAAUCUGCCUCGUUGUGGGGGAUAACGUAGGGAAACUUACGCUAAUACCGCAUACGACCUACGGGUGAAAGUGGGGGACCUUCGGGCCUCACGCGAUGAGAUGAGCCGAUGCCGGAUUAGCUAGUUGGCGGGGUAAAGGCCCACCAAGGCGACGAUCCGUAGCUGGUCUGAGAGGAUGAUCAGCCACACUGGAACUGAGACACGGUCCAGACUCCUACGGGAGGCAGCAGUGGGGAAUAUUGGACAAUGGGGGCAACCCUGAUCCAGCCAUGCCGCGUGUGUGAAGAAGGCCUCGGUUGU